RNAcentral lists this small nuclear RNA (161 nucleotides) under Carlito syrichta (Philippine tarsier). RNAcentral's name for it is "U1 spliceosomal RNA (ENSTSYG00000030252.1)". It matches the Rfam family "U1 spliceosomal RNA". Rfam says of the family: U1 is a small nuclear RNA (snRNA) component of the spliceosome (involved in pre-mRNA splicing). Its 5' end forms complementary base pairs with the 5' splice junction, thus defining the 5' donor site of an intron. The record is from Rfam by way of RNAcentral. Lineage: Eukaryota; Metazoa; Chordata; Mammalia; Primates; Tarsiidae.
AUACUCACCUGGCAGGGGAGAUAUCACAGUCAUGAAGGUGGUUUUCCUGGGGUGAGGCUUAUCCAUUGCACUCUGGAUGUGCUGACCUCUGCGAUUUCCCCCAAAGUGUGAAAUCCUGCAUAAUUUGUGUUAGUGGGGGACUGCGUUCACACUCUCCCCUG